RNAcentral lists this ribosomal RNA (252 nucleotides) under uncultured bacterium. Its description in RNAcentral is "partial 16S ribosomal RNA". It matches the Rfam family "Bacterial small subunit ribosomal RNA", at positions 524 to 776 of the family's 1533-position model. The record is from RNAcentral.
UACGGGGGGGCAAGCGUUGUUCGGAAUUACUGGGCGUAAAGGGCUCGUCGGCGGCCAACUAAGUCAGACGUGAAAUCCCUCGGCUUAACCGGGGAACUGCGUCUGAUACUGGUUGGCUUGAAUCCGGGAGAGGGAUGUGGAAUUCCAGGUGUAGCGGUGAAAUGCGUAGAUAUCUGGAGGAACACCGGUGGCGAAGGCGGCAUCCUGGACCGGUAUUGACGCUGAGGAGCGAAAGCCAGGGGAGCAAACGGG